This 301-nucleotide ribosomal RNA is filed under the name uncultured bacterium. RNAcentral's name for it is "partial 16S ribosomal RNA". It matches the Rfam family "Bacterial small subunit ribosomal RNA", at positions 509 to 807 of the family's 1533-position model. The record is from RNAcentral.
CAGUCGCCACGGGAAUACGAAGGGGGCUAGCGUUGUUCGGAAUUACUGGGCGUGAAGCGCACGUAGGCGGACAUUUAAGUCAGGGGUGAAAUCCCGGGGCUCAACCCCGGAACUGCCUUUGAUACUGGGUGUCUUGAGUGUGGAAGAGGUCAGUGGAAUUGCGAGUGUAGAGGUGAAAUUCGUAGAUAUUCGCAGGAACACCAGUGGCGAAGGCGGCUGACUGGUCCACAACUGACGCUGAGGUGCGAAAGCGUGGGGAGCAAACAGGAUUAGAUACCCCGGUAGUCCCUGUCUCUUAUAC